Molecule: transfer RNA, 61 nt
Filed under: Allocarsidara bakeri
Lineage: Eukaryota; Metazoa; Arthropoda; Insecta; Hemiptera; Carsidaridae
Description: tRNA-Trp
Source: RNAcentral
AAGUUUUAAGUUAAAUUUAAACUAUUAGCCUUCAAAGUUGAAAAUAAUAAUUUUAAACUUU